This is a long non-coding RNA of Oreochromis niloticus (Nile tilapia), 740 nucleotides long. The record is from Ensembl. NCBI's taxonomy places the organism in Eukaryota, Metazoa, Chordata, Actinopteri, Cichliformes, Cichlidae.
AUGGUGCAGCAGCAGCCUCCUGUGACUGUGAGGCCUGAUUACAAGUUGUUCCUGGCUGUUGCUGGCACUACUGUUCACGGUGCAGCAGCCCUGACAGCUAAUGUAUCAUUAAUGACACAUUUUUUUUAUAGUUUUCUCUCAGUUUUUCAGCUCCACAUUUUUAGACUGGUCCAUCAGCCCAAAAGUGUGUUGGCCCACUGGGAAAAUGCCCAGUAUGCCAGAUUACCAGUCCAGCCCUGGUCUUCAGCAUGUGCAGCAAAAUGUUGGAUAAUCCUGACUACGCUCUGGACCACUUACUGCAAAGGAAGUAGACUACUUUGAGGUAGUCCAAUUCCACACAAGGUUGGAUAUUUGAAAUCUUUUUAACCAUGUGCAAUAAUUUUUUAUAAUACAUCUAUCCAGGAGAGAAAUAUCUGCUCUUAAAUUUUGACAUUUGAUAUUUAAAAUUGUACUUUAAUUUUUUUACCUGUUAUAUAUUUGAUUGAUGUAACAAAACAGAACGCAACAAAAACACUAACCUGAAUUUUUUCAUUUAUUUAUGGAAAUGAUAUAAACUGGAAAAAGGGGAUGCAAACCCCCAGAAAUGAAUCAGGCUCAGCUUUUCUUUUUUUUCUUUUUUUUUUUUUAAACAAAAAAAAAAAAAUUAUGUACCUUGUUUUCAUUUAUUUUGAACUUAAACAACGGGCUCCAAAUGUCAUAUCAGCUCAUUAGAAACACACACUGCAAAAUACAAGGAGCUG